RNAcentral lists this ribosomal RNA (582 nucleotides) under uncultured bacterium. RNAcentral describes it as "bacterial SSU rRNA". It matches the Rfam family "Bacterial small subunit ribosomal RNA", at positions 10 to 575 of the family's 1533-position model. The record is from RNAcentral.
AAUUUGAUCAUGGCUCAGAGUCACGGUGGUAAUAGGCCUAACACAUGCAAGUCGAACGGCAGCACAGAGGAGCUUGCUCCUUGGGUGGCGAGUGGCGGACGGGUGAGGAAUACAUCGGAAUCUACUCUGUCGUGGGGGAUAACGUAGGGAAACUUACGCUAAUACCGCAUACGACCUACGGGUGAAAGCAGGGGGAUCUUCGGACCUUGCGCGAUUGAAUGAGCCGAUGUCGGAUUAGCUAGUUGGCGGGGUAAAGGCCCACCAAGGCGACGAUCCGUAGCUAGGUCUGAGAGGAUGAUCAGCCACACUGGAACUGAGACACGGUCCAGACUCCUACGGGAGGCAGCAGUGGGGAAUAUUGGACAAUGGGCGCAAGCCUGAUCCAGCCAUACCGCGUGGGUAGAAGAAGGCCUUCGGGUUGUAAAGCCCUUUUGUUGGGAAAGAAAUCCAGCUGGCUAAUACCCGGUUGGGAUGACGGCACCCAAAGAAUAAGCACCGGCUAACUUCGUGCCAGCAGCCGCGGUAAUACGAAGGGUAGCAAGCGUAUACUACGGAAUUACUGGGCGUAAAGCGUAGCGUAGG